RNAcentral lists this ribosomal RNA (301 nucleotides) under uncultured bacterium. RNAcentral describes it as "partial 16S ribosomal RNA". It matches the Rfam family "Bacterial small subunit ribosomal RNA", at positions 509 to 807 of the family's 1533-position model. The record is from RNAcentral.
CAGCAGCCGCGGUAAUACAGAGGGUGCGAGCGUUAAUCGGAUUUACUGGGCGUAAAGCGUGCGUAGGCGGCUUCUUAAGUCGGAUGUGAAAUCCCUGAGCUUAACUUAGGAAUUGCAUUCGAUACUGGGAAGCUAGAGUAUGGGAGAGGAUGGUAGAAUUCCAGGUGUAGCGGUGAAAUGCGUAGAGAUCUGGAGGAAUACCGAUGGCGAAGGCAGCCAUCUGGCCUAAUACUGACGCUGAGGUACGAAAGCAUGGGGAGCAAACAGGAUUAGAUACUCCUGUAGUCCCUGUCUCUUAUAC